Molecule: ribosomal RNA, 414 nt
Filed under: uncultured crenarchaeote
Lineage: Archaea; Thermoproteati; Thermoproteota
Description: partial 16S ribosomal RNA
Rfam family: Archaeal small subunit ribosomal RNA
Source: RNAcentral
GUGCACCAGGCGCGAAAACUCCGCAAUACGCGAAAGCGUGACGGGGCUACCCCGAGUGUCGUCCGCUGAGGACGACUUUUCCACGCUGUAAGGAGGCGUGGGAAUAAGGAGAGGGCAAGUCUGGUGUCAGCCGCCGCGGUAAUACCAGCUCUCCGAGUGGUAGGGACGAUUAUUGGGCUUAAAGCGUCCGUAGCCGGCUCAGCAAGUCUCCCGUUAAAUCCAACGAUUCAAUCGUUGGACUGCGGGAGAUACUGUUGAGCUAGGAGGCCGGAGAGGGCGACGGUAUUCCCGGGGUAGGGGUGAAAUUCUAUAAUCCCGGGAGGACCACCAGUGGCGAAGGCUGUUGGCUAGAACACGCCCGACGGUGAGGGAUGAAAGCUGGGGGAGCGAACCGGAUUAGAUACCCGGUAGUCC